This 224-nucleotide unclassified non-coding RNA is filed under the name Hevea brasiliensis (rubber tree). The record is from RNAcentral. Lineage: Eukaryota; Viridiplantae; Streptophyta; Magnoliopsida; Malpighiales; Euphorbiaceae.
GGAUAAAUGAAAGCUCUUCAUCCUGCAAAUAUUUCAAAACCCUCAACAACAUAUAAUUGACAACAGGGCAAUUAAAGAUAACCAUGCAAAGCAACCCAUGAAGAAUGCUACCAACACAACAAUCACCUAGGCCAAUUUUUUAACAUGUACAUUAUCCUAUCCUUACACAUUUCCGAAAUCGUUUAGAGUAGAGAAAGAGGAUCCAUAUAGCUGACCCCAAAUUU